UACGAAGGGAGCUAGCGUUGUUCGGAAUUACUGGGCGUAAAGCGCACGUAGGCGGGCUCUUAAGUCAGGGGUGAAAUCCCGAGGCUCAACCUCUGAACUGCCUUCAAUACUGAGAGCAUCGAGGUCGGGAGAGGUGAGUGGAAUUCCAAGAGUAGAGGUAAAAUUCGUAGAUAUUAGGAAGAACACCAGUGGCGAAGGCGGCUCACUGGCACGAAUCUGACGCUGAGGUGCGAAAGCGUGGGGAGCAAACAGG
RNAcentral lists this ribosomal RNA (253 nucleotides) under uncultured bacterium. RNAcentral's name for it is "partial 16S ribosomal RNA". It matches the Rfam family "Bacterial small subunit ribosomal RNA", at positions 524 to 776 of the family's 1533-position model. The record is from RNAcentral.